This 1108-nucleotide long non-coding RNA is filed under the name Heterocephalus glaber (naked mole-rat). RNAcentral's name for it is "lncRNA (ENSHGLG00000035304.1)". The stretch from base 270 to 349 matches the Rfam family "Small nucleolar RNA SNORD115". The record is from RNAcentral. Lineage: Eukaryota; Metazoa; Chordata; Mammalia; Rodentia; Bathyergidae.
GUCAGCAUCCCAGAUGUCAUGGCUUCACCACACUUCCAGAGCCUGUGGAGAGCACUGUCAAAACAGGCCCAAAGCUAAGCCCUGAGAUGCUGCCCAAGAAGGAGGUCCCGGGACUGCUGUCCCGUGGGCCGCAGUCUGCCCGCUGCUGUCCCACCCCGCUUCUGUGAUCCUCUGCAGACCUUCUGUGCACAGUGAUCUCUGGCAUCCCGUCCUGGUAAGCCAUGGCAGCUGCCGGCGGAGCCCUGUCUCUCCCAGGUUGUGUUCAGUCUGGGUCGAUGAUGACACUGCAAUGGGGCUGAAAAGAGGUGAUGUCUUCAAAAACAGGCUCAAUAGGAUUACGCUGAGGCCCAGCCUAAGGGAGGGUGGCACCAGAGGAGAUUGGCAGCCGGCCAUCCUGUCCAGGACAGUCGAACUGUGGCUGGGAGCCCACUAAGUGGCCCCACAGGGGAGAUGCUGUGGAGCCACAGUGUGGGCUGCCCCUGCGGAGAAGUUGGGGUCUUUGGGCUGCGAGGAUGUUGAUGCCCACCUCUCUCCCAACUUGCUGCCCUGCUGCUCUGCAGGGAAAAUGCUACCUUUGAAGCAGUGAGGACUGCCGUAGCCCUUGAGUAUGGGGAGGUACAGCGGGGCACUCUGAAUAUGGAAGGUGUGGCCAGGAAGCCUCCAGCAUUGGAUCCCGAGUCCAAGAGCAAUCUGGGCUGCCUGGGGGUCCAGAUAGAGCGUGCCUGUCCCAACGGUGUGCCCGCCUGUUAGACCAGCCAACUUCCACAGUGCUCCCUCUCACAAAUAACUAGUUUUCAGUUGGCCCUGCAGUUCUGGAGGCGAGGGGCUGAAUCCCUGGUCCCAUGGCUGUUUGAGCAGAUUUUCGGCCAGAGAGCCCAACCAGCACAAGUGGGAAGCCCCAUUUUCCCGAGGGACCAGGGAGGCAGUAUCCCAGGCCAGAUGAGAACGGUUUAGGAUACCCUUGGGAACCAGGUGGCCUAUGUCUGUGCCCCAGGUAGAUUUGUUGGAAAGACACGUGGGAGGGCAGAUGCAGCUCAAACAUGGACAGAGCCAGGGCGAGGUCUUCAGGAAACACAGGACACUGGCUGGGAGUCAGCAUCCCAGAUGU